Long non-coding RNA from Hibiscus syriacus, 982 nucleotides. RefSeq lists it as uncharacterized. The transcript has 3 exons. Lineage: Eukaryota; Viridiplantae; Streptophyta; Magnoliopsida; Malvales; Malvaceae. The record is from RefSeq and is a predicted model, not a curated record.
CAAACCAACUCUGAGCCCAAAUGAAUUCGGUCUAGACCGGCAGUUGGCCCAGUUUCAGUUUAUUACAAUAGCUAGGGUUUAUCAUUGAUACCCCUAUAUAUUUUAUCUUCAGCCACUAAACUCAAUUCGCGGCUAGGGUUUUCUCUCCUCUGUUAACUGCUGUAAAUUUAUAGUGUUGUACGUGGAAAGAACAGAUAUUCAGAGAUGAGAAGGUUCUUGAAGAACAAUGCCACAAUAAUGCCUUUUACUAGGAUCGGUAGAAUUUUGAAGAUGCUCUACGUAGAUUGAGAAGGGCCAGGAGAAGGUUUACCUACCAAGGAGAUGAGCCAGACAUCUGACGAUCCAGACAUCUUCUUGAUGAGGUAACAAGUUGGAUUCGAGAUGAUUUGAAGCUAAAGCUAACAGUUGAAGAACACGAACCAGUUUAAAAGAUUUCUGAAAGUAGGAGAUGAAGAAGAAGCUUUGAAGACAAUGUAGUACCCAGAUGCUUGCAGGGGCUAGGCAACUUACAGAUGGACCAGAUUUUCGCUUCCCCAGUAUACCGAGACAUUGUUGGUUUUUCAAGAAUUGUUCAAGGAAUAGUUACUUUUGGGAUCAAUUCCUUGUUGCAUUUGCAUUCCGCAUUUUGCACUCUCAUUUUUACAUUUGCAUGUGCAUCUUUGUAUUAACACAUAUACAUUAUACAUUACAUGGUAUACAUUGUAUUUCAACAUGCUUUAAUCACGGAUCAUGGGAGUAACUUGGGGAGAAUCUUGUGAUAAAAGUUUUGAGGUAAGACGGAGUCACCCCACUCGUUCCUAGAAGAGGAUUGAGAGAUAUGGACGUGAUGUUUGCACCGUCUGAAGUUUGAGGCACAUCAUCGAGAUAUGUGGGGCACUGAGAAGCAAAGCUCAGAUUUUGUUUAGUACAUGAGCAUAUCUCUUUAAUAAUGAGACCUCUCGGUGCGAACCAAGAAAUUCUUUCACCCACUGUAAAACCUUAU